RNAcentral lists this transfer RNA (65 nucleotides) under Foraminifera environmental sample. RNAcentral's name for it is "partial Selenocysteine transfer RNA". Lineage: Eukaryota; Foraminifera. The record is from RNAcentral.
GCGUGUCUCCCGUGGUCAAGGUGGCGGUCAAACCCAAGGACGGCAAGGAUUUGCCCAAGUUGGUU